Octopus sinensis (East Asian common octopus) is the source of this 337-nucleotide long non-coding RNA. RefSeq lists it as uncharacterized. NCBI's taxonomy places the organism in Eukaryota, Metazoa, Mollusca, Cephalopoda, Octopoda, Octopodidae. The transcript has 3 exons. The record is from RefSeq and is a predicted model, not a curated record.
UAUAUAUAUAUAGAUAUAUAUAUUAUAUAGUGAUAUAAUAUAUAUAUAUGUAUACACACACACACACAAAGUGAAUAGGUAUAUUGACCAGAACUGUAGGCCCUUCAAUCAAUGCAGCUUCUUGGCAAAUAAUAUACAUGUAUCCAUGUGCCUGCAUGUGUGUGUGUGUGCCUAUGUGUGUGUGUGUGUAUGUGUGUGUGUGUGUGUGUGUGUGUGUGUGUGUGUGUGUGUGUGUGUGUGUACAGAUUGAAAAUAAUAAAAUAGAAACAUCUGGUUAUGAAUAUUAAUUCUGCUAAUUGUUUUGAAGGAUUAAUAGAGACAUUACGGCAGAACAAAA